GACGCUGGAUACAUAUGGUCGAA
Molecule: non-coding RNA, 23 nt
Filed under: Arabidopsis thaliana (thale cress)
Lineage: Eukaryota; Viridiplantae; Streptophyta; Magnoliopsida; Brassicales; Brassicaceae
Source: RNAcentral